RNAcentral lists this ribosomal RNA (630 nucleotides) under Nierstraszella lineata. Its description in RNAcentral is "partial 16S ribosomal RNA". It matches the Rfam family "Bacterial large subunit ribosomal RNA", at positions 1816 to 2746 of the family's 2925-position model. The record is from RNAcentral. Lineage: Eukaryota; Metazoa; Mollusca; Polyplacophora; Lepidopleurida; Nierstraszellidae.
CGCUUUUUGUAAGAAAAAAAUAAAAAGUCGUACCUGCCCAGUGAAUAUUAAAUGGCCGCAGUACUUUGACUGUGCAAAGGUAGCAUAAUAAAUUGUCUUAUAAUUGAAGACUAGAAUGAAUGGUUUGACGGAGCUUUACUGUCUCUUUUUUAUUACUUAGAAAUUAAUUUUAAGGUGCAGAAGCCUUAAUGAAAUUAAAAGACGAAAAGACCCUAUUGAGCUUAAAGAAAGAAGAAAAAGUUUUAUAGUAAUCGAUUUUUAUUUUUUUAUAUUUUUUGUUGGGGCGACAGAAGAACAUAAAAAGCUUCUUUUUAUUGGAUAAAUGUUUUUAUUAUUUUGAUCCAUGCAUUAUGAUUAAAAGAAUAAGUUACCAUAGGGAUAACAGCGUAAUCUUUUUGGAGAGUUCUAAUUGAAAAAAAGGUUUGCGACCUCGAUGUUGGAUUAAAGUUACUAAAGGGUGUAGAAGCCCUUGAAAGUCAGUCUGUUCGACUGUUAAACCUUUACAUGAUCUGAGUUCAAACCGGCGUGAGUUAGGUUGGUUUCUAUCUUUAAUUUAAAAGUAAAUAAUCAGUACGAAAGGACCUUUAUUUAUAAAUAAUUUGUGUUGAUAGAAUUAAUUUAAAAUUAGAU